RNAcentral lists this ribosomal RNA (451 nucleotides) under uncultured bacterium. Its description in RNAcentral is "bacterial SSU rRNA". It matches the Rfam family "Bacterial small subunit ribosomal RNA", at positions 340 to 784 of the family's 1533-position model. The record is from RNAcentral.
UACGGGGGCAGCAGUGGGGAAGUAUUGCACAAUGGGCGCAAGCCUGAUGCAGCCAUGCCGCGUGUAUGAAGAAGGCCUUCGGGUUGUAAAGUACUUUCAGUCGUGAGGAAGGUGUUAAGGUUAAUAACCUUAGCAAUUGACGUUAGCGACAGAAGAAGCACCGGCUAACUCCGUGCCAGCAGCCGCGGUAAUACGGAGGGUGCGAGCGUUAAUCGGAAUUACUGGGCGUAAAGGGCACGCAGGCGGUUAAUUAAGUUGGAUGUGAAAUCCCCGGGCUUAACCUGGGAAUGGCAUUCAAGACUGGUUAGCUAGAGUCUUGUAGAGGGGGUAGAAUUCCAUGUGUAGCGGUGAAAUGCGUAGAGAUGUGGAGGAAUACCGGUGGCGAAGGCGGCCCCUGGACAAAGACUGACGCUCAUGUGCGAAAGCGUGGGGAGCAAACAGGGAUUAGAUA